This 254-nucleotide ribosomal RNA is filed under the name uncultured bacterium. Its description in RNAcentral is "partial 16S ribosomal RNA". It matches the Rfam family "Bacterial small subunit ribosomal RNA", at positions 524 to 777 of the family's 1533-position model. The record is from RNAcentral.
UACGGAGGGAGCAAGCGUUACUCGGAAUUAUUGGGCGUAAAGGGCGCGUAGGCGAUCUGACAAGUCUGGUGUGAAAGCCCACAUGUUAACUGUGGAAGUGCAUUAGAAACUGUUGGAUUUGAGUUCAGGAGAGGAAGGCAGAAUUCCCGGUGUAGCGGUGAAAUGCGUAGAGAUCGGGAGGAAUACCAGUGGCGAAGGCGGCCUUCUGGACAGUGACUGACGCUGAGACGCGAAAGCGUGGGGAGCAAACAGGG